This 265-nucleotide ribosomal RNA is filed under the name uncultured bacterium. Its description in RNAcentral is "partial 16S ribosomal RNA". It matches the Rfam family "Bacterial small subunit ribosomal RNA", at positions 793 to 1055 of the family's 1533-position model. The record is from RNAcentral.
GUCCACGCCGUAAACGAUGAUAACUAGCUGUUCGGGCUCAUAGAGCUUGAGUGGCGCAGCUAACGCAUUAAGUUAUCCGCCUGGGGAGUACGGUCGCAAGAUUAAAACUCAAAGGAAUUGACGGGGGCCUGCACAAGCGGUGGAGCAUGUGGUUUAAUUCGAAGCAACGCGCAGAACCUUACCAGCCUUUGACAUCCUAGGACGACUUCUGGAGACAGAUUUCUUCCCUUCGGGGACCUAGUGACAGGUGCUGCAUGGCUGUCGU